AAAACCUCUAAAGUUUUCCUCAUAAAAUCCCAACUAACUUGGUCAAAGACUUUCUCUCCAUCGAGCGCCAUAGAAAAGAAGGGCGUUUUGUGGCAUGAACUUUCUCGUAUAUAUUUAUAAUCUUCCUGAUGUGAUUGGAGGGCGUUCCUCCACUUGAUCUUCUGAGAUCAAAGUUGGGAUAAUACUUUUUAUUCUCUUGGAUAAAAUUGAAGCAUAGAUUUUAUAAUCGGUAUUCAGCAGUGGAAUUGGUUAUUUCUUCUGGA
This is a non-coding RNA of Pelobates cultripes (western spadefoot toad), 263 nucleotides long. NCBI's taxonomy places the organism in Eukaryota, Metazoa, Chordata, Amphibia, Anura, Pelobatidae. The record is from the annotation of a GenBank genome assembly.